GCCAAGUUGUCCAUUAAUAAAAUCUUGUAUAUCAUUCCACAGGGAAGAGCUAUAUGAACAACUAUAGAAUAAAUGGUCUAGCGUUUCUGUUUCCAUAAAGCAAAAACUGCAUUUAUCGUCUACAGUAGGGAUGAAUUUACAGAUAAUUUUGUUGCAGGGGUAAUAAUGGUGAAGAAUUUUAAAUGAUAUUUCUUUCACUUUGUUCGUAAUUAAAAAUUUAUGUGGGUUAUUCCAUGCUCUAUUCCAAUUAAUAUUUUCAUACAAGGGGGACCAUUUGUAUCUGGAGGCAGGGAUAGAUUUUGCACAUAAAAGGUUUUUUAUUACUUUGUUGUUAAAUUUUCUGUCUAGAAACGAUAGACCAUUUAUUGAAACACUGCUGGAGAGAGAUUUAUUAAAUUGAUCCAAAACUGUCUCAUUUCUAAGUAGGGUGAUGAUCCCUUGGGGUAUAGCUUUGGUUACAAUAUCAAAUUCUUUUCUUGGAGGCUGGAAAUUAAAUUUAUGGGUGAAGUCGUCAUAAGUUAAAAUUUGAUUUGAGUUAUUUAAUAAUUGGGAUACCAGUAGAAUAUCAUGUUUAAACCAGUUUUCUAUGAAGAGAGUCUUGUUUCUAUAUAUGAUGUUCAUGUUGUUCCAUAUAAAACAUUUGUGAGGGGAGAAGUUGUGUUUGUAUAGAAGAGACCAAUAAGUUAGAGCCUGUUUAUGGAAGUUGGAUAGUUUUACUGGCAUUCUGUUGAUGGAGUAUGGGCAUUGAAGCAAGAAUGUAAUUUUACCAAGUUUUUCAAAAAUAAAGUUUGGCACAAUAUUCCAUAAACUGUUUGGAUUUUUCAAAAAUCUUUUAAUCCAAUUUAUUUUUAAUAUCUCAUUGAAGAGUGAGAAGUCAAUUACCGAUAAACCUCCCUCUUCAAUUUUAUUAGUCAAGAUGUUUUUCCUAAUUUUAUGGGGUUUCUUCCUCCAUAUAAAGUUAUACAAUAGUUUGUCUAGAUUGGCACAUUGUAACUUGGGUAUUUCAAUUGAAGAGAAUAAAUAUGCUGCUCGUGAGAGACCUUCUGCUUUAGAAAGAAGAACCCUGCCAUACAUAGAUAAAUCUCUUGCAAGCCAGGAGUCAAACUUUUUAUUAAUAGAGUUGUGUAGUAAAGAAAUAUUACUUUCUGUCAUCAACUUUUGAUUAUGACCUAUUUUUAUUCCAAGAUAUGUUACUAAAUUAUUUAUAUUUAUGCCAUAUAGUUGACCCGAAUGUUUAUUUUUCAGAGAAAAGAGCUCACAUUUUGAAAGAUUUAGAUUCAAGCCUGAGCUUUCAGAAAAUUGGUUUAAGACAUUUAGUGCAACUCCAAUUUGGGAUUUAUUUUUUAGAAACAGGGUUGUGUCAUCGGCCAGCUGUGAAAUUUUUAUUUCUCUUUCAUUUAAUGUUAUUCCUUUGAAUGAACUCUUGUGAAUUAAAUCAC
Long non-coding RNA from Cyprinus carpio carpio, 1439 nucleotides. NCBI's taxonomy places the organism in Eukaryota, Metazoa, Chordata, Actinopteri, Cypriniformes, Cyprinidae. The record is from Ensembl.